GAACUUAGCAGAGAUGCUUUGGUGCCUUCGGGAACUCUGAGACAGGUGCUGCAUGGCUGUCGUCAGCUCGUGUUGUGAAAUGUUGGGUUAAGUCCCGCAACGAGCGCAACCCUUUAUCCUUUGUUGCCAGCGGUUAGGCCGGGAACUCAAAGGAGACUGCCAGUGAUAAACUGGAGGAAGGUGGGGAUGACGUCAAGUCAUCAUGGCCCUUACGAGUAGGGCUACACACGUGCUACAAUGGCGCAUACAAAGAGAAGCGACCUCGCGAGAGCAAGCGGACCUCAUAAAGUGCGUCGUAGUCCGGAUUGGAGUCUGCAACUCGACUCCAUGAAGUCGGAAUCGCUAGUAAUCGUGGAUCAGAAUGCCACGGUGAAUACGUUCCCGGGCCUUGUACACACCGCCCGUCACACCAUGGGAGUGGGUUGCAAAAGAAGUAGGUAGCUUAACCUUCGGGAGGGCGCUUACCACUUUGUGAUUCAUGACUGGGGUGAAGUCGUAACAAGGUAGGCGUAGUGCU
RNAcentral lists this ribosomal RNA (517 nucleotides) under uncultured bacterium. RNAcentral describes it as "bacterial SSU rRNA". It matches the Rfam family "Bacterial small subunit ribosomal RNA", at positions 993 to 1509 of the family's 1533-position model. The record is from RNAcentral.